GACGAACCGUGCGAACGUUAUUCGGAAUCACUGGGCUUAAAGCGCGUGUAGGCGGAUCGGAACGUCGGUCGCUGAAAUCCCCCGGCUUAACCGGGGAACGGGCGCCGAAACGACCGGUCUGGAGGAACGUAGGGGGAGCUGGAACUUCCGGUGGAGCGGUGAAAUGCGUUGAGAUCGGAAGGAACGCCCGUGGCGAAAGCGAGCUCCUGGACGUUUUCUGACGCUGAGACGCGAAAGCCAGGGGAGCGAACGGG
Molecule: ribosomal RNA, 254 nt
Filed under: uncultured bacterium
Lineage: Bacteria
Description: partial 16S ribosomal RNA
Rfam family: Bacterial small subunit ribosomal RNA
Source: RNAcentral